This 87-nucleotide transfer RNA is filed under the name Pseudomonadota bacterium. RNAcentral's name for it is "tRNA-Leu". It matches the Rfam family "tRNA". Rfam says of the family: Transfer RNA (tRNA) molecules are approximately 80 nucleotides in length. Their secondary structure includes four short double-helical elements and three loops (D, anti-codon, and T loops). Further hydrogen bonds mediate the characteristic L-shaped molecular structure. tRNAs have two regions of fundamental functional importance: the anti-codon, which is responsible for specific mRNA codon recognition, and the 3' end, to which the tRNAs corresponding amino acid is attached (by aminoacyl-tRNA synthetases). tRNAs cope with the degeneracy of the genetic code in two manners: having more than one tRNA (with a specific anti-codon) for a particular amino acid; and 'wobble' base-pairing, i.e. permitting non-standard base-pairing at the 3rd anti-codon position. The record is from RNAcentral. Lineage: Bacteria; Pseudomonadati; Pseudomonadota. RNAcentral also lists the same sequence under 1 other name.
GCGGAAGUGGCGGAAUGGCAGACGCGCUAGGUUGAGGGCCUAGUGAGGGUUUACCUCAUGCGGGUUCAAGUCCCGCCUUCCGCACCA